RNAcentral lists this ribosomal RNA (280 nucleotides) under uncultured bacterium. RNAcentral's name for it is "partial 16S ribosomal RNA". It matches the Rfam family "Bacterial small subunit ribosomal RNA", at positions 506 to 784 of the family's 1533-position model. The record is from RNAcentral.
UGCCAGCAGCCGCGGUAAUACAGAGAUGGCAACCGUUGUUCGGAAUCACUGGGCUUAAAGAGCACGUAGGCGGAGUAUUAAGUUGAUUGUGAAAGACCACGCGUUAACCGUGGGGGGUCAGCUGAUACUGAUAGUCUUGAGGCCGAUAGGGGAGAGUGGAAUUCCUGGUGGAGCGGUGAAAUGCGUUGAUAUCAGGAGGAACGUCGGAGGCGAAGGCGACUCUCUGGGUCGGUUCCUGACGCUGAGGUGCGAAAGUGUGGGGAGCAAACAGGAUUAGAUA